CCCUUAGAUGUCCUGGGCUGCACGCGCGCUACACUGAUGUGUCCAGUAAGCACCUAACCUCUUCCGAAAGGAACGGGUAACCUUUGCAAAGCACAUCGUGAUGGGGAUAGAUUAUUGCAAUUAUUAGUCUUGAACGAGGAAUUCCUAGUAAGCACAAGUCAUCAGCUUGUGUUGAUUACGUCCCUGCCCAUUGUACACACCGCCCGUCGCUCCUACCGAUUGAAUGUUCCGGUGAGCUCUUCGGACUGCGCGGUCUGCAGUUUCUGCGUUCCGUGCGGAAAGUUGCGCAAACCUUAACAUUUAGAGGAAGGAGAAGUCGUAACA
This 324-nucleotide ribosomal RNA is filed under the name uncultured eukaryote. Its description in RNAcentral is "partial 18S ribosomal RNA". It matches the Rfam family "Eukaryotic small subunit ribosomal RNA", at positions 1470 to 1796 of the family's 1831-position model. The record is from RNAcentral.